RNAcentral lists this unclassified non-coding RNA (337 nucleotides) under uncultured fungus. Its description in RNAcentral is "partial contains 18S rRNA, ITS1, 5.8S rRNA, ITS2 and 28S rRNA". The record is from RNAcentral. Lineage: Eukaryota; Fungi.
AAGGAUCAUUAUCAUAACGUAUCCACGUAUAAACCAAUUUCUUUAAUGAAUGUGAAUUGUAAUGUAUAAAACCUUUAGUAAUUAGUGAUUGCUAUCUCUGAUUUUAUUGAUUAAGAAAUCUUGAUAGACUUGACUCUCACGGGUCUAGCAUUAAUUAUUGAAGUGUAAUUAUUAAUCUACUAUUAACCCAUUGAACCGAUUAACUAUUAUGUAGUUAUUCAUUCUUUUUAUUGUGAACUGAAUUGUUUCUUACUCGAAUGCUAACCCAUUUGAGAAGGAAUUAUAUUUACGAAACAUAAAUUAUGAACAACUCUUAGCAACGGAUAUCUUGGUUCUC